Molecule: transfer RNA, 76 nt
Filed under: Candidatus Thorarchaeota archaeon
Lineage: Archaea; Promethearchaeati; Candidatus Thorarchaeota
Also listed under: 1 other name
Description: tRNA-Thr
Rfam family: tRNA
About the family: Transfer RNA (tRNA) molecules are approximately 80 nucleotides in length. Their secondary structure includes four short double-helical elements and three loops (D, anti-codon, and T loops).
Source: RNAcentral
GCCUCGGUGGCUUAGGGGCUAUAGCGGCUGACUUGUAAUCAGCAGGUCGCGAGUUCGAAUCUCGCCCGGGGCUCCA